Molecule: non-coding RNA, 154 nt
Organism: Bacillus sp. FJAT-22058
Lineage: Bacteria; Bacillati; Bacillota; Bacilli; Caryophanales; Bacillaceae
Source: Rfam
CUCUUAUCAAGAGCAGGCUGAGGGAUAAAGGCCCUAUGAAGCCCAGCAACCGACUGUAAUACCAUUGUGAAAUGGGGCGGAUCUUCCGCCGGAUUAUUAAAUCCACAGAGCACGGUGCUAAUUCCACCAGAAUUCAUUUUCUGGAAGAUAAGAG